RNAcentral lists this ribosomal RNA (88 nucleotides) under Utharomyces epallocaulus. RNAcentral describes it as "partial 28S ribosomal RNA". It matches the Rfam family "Eukaryotic large subunit ribosomal RNA", at positions 1 to 92 of the family's 3401-position model. Lineage: Eukaryota; Fungi; Mucoromycota; Mucoromycetes; Mucorales; Pilobolaceae. The record is from RNAcentral.
CUGAAAUCAAGUGGGACUACCCGCUGAACUUAAGCAUAUCAAUAAGCGGAGGAAAAGAAAAUAACAAUGAUUUCCCUAGUAACGGCGA